CCAAGAGGGAGAGGGUGGUCCUCUGGAGUGGGUGUGGGCGUUGGGUGGGACCCCUGGAGAUGAGAGGGUGUGGGCGGAUUCUUGGAGCAGAGGCCAAGGUAUGCUAGGUCUAAGCAGAAUGGGCAGAGUGACUCCAGCUGGGCAAGGGGUCUCAGUCUCCCCUCAAAGAGGAAAGAUGAGGGGCAGGGGAGCCGAUGGGGGUCGAGCCUGCACUCAGCCCUGGGUCCUCUUGGAACCGGGCUCGGAACUGAGCUAGGAAGGAGCACAGGCGGGUCUCCUGGACUCCUGUCUACCGAGCUGCACCCAGGACCAGAAGCAGGGCAUGGGCCCCUCCUCUGGCCAGGAUGCUGGGCUCCUUUGGCCACAAAGCAGGACAGGGGCCCAGAGAGCCCCCAACCCAGGAGACGUGAAGCUGGCAGCUGGCAUAGAGUCUACAUGACCCCGAGAAUGAGGCCAUAGGCCCCAUAGAACAGCAGCUUCAAAGUUUAGCCCGCGUCAAAACCGCCUGGCAGCCUUGUGGCUUUAACGUCCGCUCCCACAGUUUCUGACUCUGUGGGUGUGGGGAGGGGCCUAGGAAUUUGCAUGUGUAACAAUGUCCAGGUGCGGCUGAUGCUGGCUGGUCUGGGGACCAUGCUCCGACAACCACUGCUUUAGCAUUUCUGUGGAUCUGGCCCGCUAUUACCUCUGUAGAGGAUGUCCUGUUAUUAUAUCUGGGGGCAAAAAAAAUUAGUGGAAGUACAGGUGCAUGAUCAGCCCAUCUCAGUCCGUGACCCACCAUAUUUCUACUGAGAGCCCACCUUAGGUCCGGCUGGCCCUGCUCUAGGGCUGGGGAUAAAAUGGUAAACGAGAUGGACGGGUCCCCGCCUCAGAACUGACAGCCAGGAGGGUCUGGCAUGUGAUCUUCCCACCUGGGAGUCUAAAAGGCAGCUCGAAAGAAGGUCCAGACAGACCUCGAGUCACAGUCCACCAGCUUCAUCUCAGGUCUUCCCCGGUCAGUAACUAGCCCACCAGCCAGUCCAGCUGCAAGCCCCGAGUCACCCAGAUUCCUCACUCUGCCUCCCGCAUGGAAUCCCACAAGGCAGGGGCUCUGCCUCCAUAGUGCGUCUGCUCUCUGCCCACUGUCAUCUGUCUCUCUGAGUGUGAUCUCCUCCUUCCCUCCUUGCCCCCCUGGCCCACCCUCUGCGUGGCAGCCAGAGCAAUUUUUUAAGGCAUUAUCACAUCACUUCUCUGCUUACCCUCUCCAAUGUCUUCCUUUUUUUUUUUUUUUUUUUUUAAUUUUUAGUGUUUACUUUUAAGAGAGAUAGAGAGUGUGGGUGGAGGAGGGCCGGAGG
Leopardus geoffroyi (Geoffroy's cat) is the source of this 1331-nucleotide RNA transcript. It is a transcript of the gene named translation initiation factor IF-2-like, with no coding region annotated. NCBI's taxonomy places the organism in Eukaryota, Metazoa, Chordata, Mammalia, Carnivora, Felidae. The record is from RefSeq and is a predicted model, not a curated record. The transcript is spliced from 4 exons.